GGGUGCCCGAGCGGUUAAGGGGGUAGACUAGAAAUCUACUAUGUUAAUCAUGCGCAGGUUCGAGUCCUGCCUCU
This 74-nucleotide transfer RNA is filed under the name Pavlova sp. CCMP459. It matches the Rfam family "tRNA", at positions 5 to 67 of the family's 71-position model. From Rfam's summary of the family: Transfer RNA (tRNA) molecules are approximately 80 nucleotides in length. Their secondary structure includes four short double-helical elements and three loops (D, anti-codon, and T loops). The record is from RNAcentral. Lineage: Eukaryota; Haptophyta; Pavlovophyceae; Pavlovales; Pavlovaceae.